GACGAACGCUGGCGGCGUGCUUAACACAUGCAAGUCGAACGGAAAGGCCCUGCUUUUGUGGGGUGCUCGAGUGGCGAACGGGUGAGUAACACGUGAGUAACCUGCCCUUGACUUUGGGAUAACUUCAGGAUACUGGGGCUAAUACCGGAUAGGAGCUCCUGCUGCAUGGUGGGGGUUGGAAAGUUUCGGCGGUUGGGGAUGGACUCGCGGCUUAUCAGCUUGUUGGUGGGGUAGUGGCUUACCAAGGCUUUGACGGGUAGCCGGCCUGAGAGGGUGACCGGCCACAUUGGGACUGAGAUACGGCCCAGACUCCUACGGGAGGCAGCAGUGGGGAAUAUUGCACAAUGGUCGGAAGCCUGAUGCAGCAACGCCGCGUGCGGAAUGACGGCCUUCGGGUUGUAAACCGCUUUCGCCUGUGACGAAGCGUGAGUGACGGUAAUGGGUAAAGAAGCACCGGCUAACUACGUG
Molecule: ribosomal RNA, 468 nt
Filed under: uncultured bacterium
Lineage: Bacteria
Description: partial 16S ribosomal RNA
Rfam family: Bacterial small subunit ribosomal RNA
Source: RNAcentral